GCGGUCGUAGUCUAGUGGUUAGGACUUCACCCUGCCACGGUGAGGACCCGGGUUCAAAUCCCGGCGACCGCA
Molecule: transfer RNA, 72 nt
Filed under: archaeon
Lineage: Archaea
Description: tRNA-Gly
Rfam family: tRNA
About the family: Transfer RNA (tRNA) molecules are approximately 80 nucleotides in length.
Source: RNAcentral